Bactrocera neohumeralis is the source of this 1094-nucleotide long non-coding RNA. RefSeq lists it as uncharacterized. Lineage: Eukaryota; Metazoa; Arthropoda; Insecta; Diptera; Tephritidae. The record is from RefSeq and is a predicted model, not a curated record. The transcript is spliced from 2 exons.
CAAAAGCUGACUAUGCAGUUGUAAGCGGACGGCGGUGCAAAAAAAAAAUAAACGAAUUUCAUAAAAACGGUAAAAAAUUCAAUCAACACGUGUGGUAACUAACUCAGAGAAGCGAUUUUUAAAAAUUUAAUAUGUGAAAAUGUAAAAUAUAUUUGAGAUUUUUUGUUAAAAAGAAGUAGAACAAGUACGAACUUUCCUAAAUCAAGAACCUAAUCACUUGAUUGCAGACUUUACUUAGAACUGCUUUAAUUAAAACAUUAAAUUGUGUCAAUAAAUCUGCUCCAGCAUAUUUGAGUGUGAAAGCUAAAUUGAAGAAUGCAACAACUACUUAGCAAGUCGCAACCCUACAAUUCUACAAAAAGAAUGGGCGCAACACAAGCAAAAGACAAAUUUAGAAGCACAAAAAGAAAGUCAUGAAAGCAAAAGCAACAUUCCAGCGCACUGUCAAAUUGGGUCAAAAGUGCAUAGGCAUAGCAGACGCAGCAAACACUCCAAGCAGCGCAUAGCUGGAAAGCGACACACGAACACACACACUUGUGCCUUGCAUAGGGAAAAAGGACAUAAUAGGAUGGCAAAAGAAAGGAAUUCAAGUAGAGUGGCAGUUGAGCUACAGCAAAGGCGAGCAGAUAGCAGCAGCCUCAGCUGAAUGCAUGCGUAGAGACGCAAGAAGUGAAGAAUCAACAGAAGCGGCAACAAAGAAAAAACAACGCGAUUUGGGUCGUCUUGCAAUGCCUUUGCUGCGCCGUGCCGUCUUAAGUGCAGCUGGCGAGGACAAACACCAGCAGCAGGCGACAGAAACAAAGACAAAUGGCGGCGACAACGGCAAUAUGGACAAUAGAGUAGUGGCAAGAACAAAAACAAACAGCGCGAGCCAACAACAAUAACACUGCAGUUAGUACGAAAAGCGUUUGCGAUGCGGCAACUAACUUCUCACUGCAUUCUGUGUGCCUUAUAGAAUAGUCAUCUCAUUGCAAUAAUUUUCGAAUAUAAGAGGAAGUUCUGUCAACAGAUUGUUAUGUGGUUAUGUGAGAAAUACUUACAAAAUCUAUUAUUAAAAAUGACGUAAUAUAAUAAAAUGUUUUUGCAAAACUCAA